GGUUAUGGCUCAGGGGUACAGCGCUCUCCUAGCACCCGCGAGGCCCUGGGUUCAAUCCUCAGCACCA
This 67-nucleotide transfer RNA is filed under the name Marmota monax (woodchuck). RNAcentral's name for it is "tRNA.Ala". The record is from RNAcentral. Lineage: Eukaryota; Metazoa; Chordata; Mammalia; Rodentia; Sciuridae.